This 867-nucleotide long non-coding RNA is filed under the name Equus asinus (donkey). RNAcentral's name for it is "lncRNA (ENSEASG00005037907.1)". The record is from RNAcentral. Lineage: Eukaryota; Metazoa; Chordata; Mammalia; Perissodactyla; Equidae.
CACAGCGCCUCCUGCCGGCCAGGGUGGCGAUGGCCGCAGGAACUGGCCGGAGCCCGCGAAGGCGCAGAGAGCACACAGGCAACAUGCAAAUCCCUAUGCCUCAGAGCCGUUGUUCGACUGAGCAAGAGAAAAGAUCAGCACAGAAGGCUGCAGGGUAAUCUUACACCGCUGAGACUGGCAAGGUUAAGGGCAGACACUGCAAGAGUACCCAGGGGCUGAAGAAAUUGCAAGUGCUAGACAUCAAGAUGGCUUUGAGCAACCCUGUGGCCAGUGUCCUCAACAGUAGUUCUUACCACAAUGCAGAACCACCUUCUCCUGGGACUACAUCUUACAAAGUCUUUUGAUUACAAAUAGUGGCAUAAUGACAUUAGCUGAUAAUUCAGUGGCUACUGUGACACUGAUGUGGUGAUUAAACUAAUGAAAUAACAGAACAAGCUCACAUUUAGCAGUCUCUUGAUAUGAAAGACAAAGUCAUGCUGAGAAUCCAGUGUACUUUCAUUAACAUGAGUUUGUAUUGAUUCCUGCAUCAAAUAAACAGGUCCUCAGCCCAAGAUCUUUGCUGUCAACUAGCCAUUUGGAUUUAAGUGGAGGCAAUGGAGGGCAGUUAAAAAUGUGCAGAGGGAAGCUUUAGAAGGAGAAACUAUCAGAAAAUGUGUUUGGGGAUGUUCUCUGAACACAGUUUACCAGAGAAAGGUUAAGGAUUGGGUAGAGUAUCAUCUAGACCUCUUUAAGGACACGUAGCAAGUCUGCCGGGUCAUAAACACAAAUGUCUACAGGAGCCAGGCGGGUAUCAUCGCUGAGUGAACAGGCAGGAUGGGUGUCAGGAGGGAGGAGUGGAAUCAGCGAAGACCUCCUGAGCUUUAAGAA